Molecule: ribosomal RNA, 484 nt
Filed under: Campylobacter coli
Lineage: Bacteria; Pseudomonadati; Campylobacterota; Epsilonproteobacteria; Campylobacterales; Campylobacteraceae
Description: bacterial SSU rRNA
Rfam family: Bacterial small subunit ribosomal RNA
Source: RNAcentral
UUUUAUGGAGAGUUUGAUCCUGGCUCAGAGUGAACGCUGGCGGCGUGCCUAAUACAUGCAAGUCGAACGAUGAAGCUUCUAGCUUGCUAGAAGUGGAUUAGUGGCGCACGGGUGAGUAAGGUAUAGUUAAUCUGCCCUACACAAGAGGACAACAGUUGGAAACGACUGCUAAUACUCUAUACUCCUGCUUAACACAAGUUGAGUAGGGAAAGUUUUUCGGUGUAGGAUGAGACUAUAUAGUAUCAGCUAGUUGGUAAGGUAAUGGCUUACCAAGGCUAUGACGCUUAACUGGUCUGAGAGGAUGAUCAGUCACACUGGAACUGAGACACGGUCCAGACUCCUACGGGAGGCAGCAGUAGGGAAUAUUGCGCAAUGGGGGAAACCCUGACGCAGCAACGCCGCGUGGAGGAUGACACUUUUCGGAGCGUAAACUCCUUUUCUUAGGGAAGAAUUCUGACGGUACCUAAGGAAUAAGCACCGGCUA